This 433-nucleotide ribosomal RNA is filed under the name uncultured bacterium. Its description in RNAcentral is "partial 16S ribosomal RNA". It matches the Rfam family "Bacterial small subunit ribosomal RNA", at positions 29 to 507 of the family's 1533-position model. The record is from RNAcentral.
AACGAACGCUGGCGGCAUGCCUAACACAUGCAAGUCGAACGAAGGCUUCGGCCUUAGUGGCGCACGGGUGCGUAACGCGUGGGAAUCUGCCCUUGGGUUCGGAAUAACAGCGGGAAACUGCUGCUAAUACCGGAUGAUGACGUAAGUCCAAAGAUUUAUCGCCCAAGGAUGAGCCCGCGUAGGAUUAGCUAGUUGGUGGGGUAAAGGCCCACCAAGGCGACGAUCCUUAGCUGGUCUGAGAGGAUGAUCAGCCACACUGGGACUGAGACGCGGCCCAGACACCUAGGGGAGGAGCAGGGUGGAAAUAUUGAACAAGGGGGGACGUUGUCACCCAGCAGGGCCUGGGGGUGGAAAAAGGCCUUGGGGUGGAAAUAUUUUUUCCCCGGGGGUGGAAAUGAAGGUACCGGGAGAAUAAGCCACGGCUACCUCCGUG